RNAcentral lists this unclassified non-coding RNA (232 nucleotides) under plant metagenome. RNAcentral describes it as "partial contains small subunit ribosomal RNA, internal transcribed spacer 1, and 5.8S ribosomal RNA". The stretch from base 184 to 232 matches the Rfam family "5.8S ribosomal RNA", at positions 1 to 49 of the family's 154-position model. The record is from RNAcentral.
UUUCCGUAGGUGAACCUGCGGAAGGAUCAUUCAUAAUAAGUGUUUUAUGGCACUUUUUUAAAUCCAUAUCCACCUUGUGUGCAAUGUCAGGGUUGGUCUCUCUUUUGAGAGAUCAGCCCCAAACAUCAACUCUAUUUUAACUCUUUGUCUGAAAAAUAUUAUGAAUAAAACAAUUCAAAAUACAACUUUCAACAACGGAUCUCUUGGCUCUCGCAUCGAUGAAGAGCGCAGC